Molecule: unclassified non-coding RNA, 348 nt
Filed under: soil metagenome
Description: partial contains 5.8S ribosomal RNA, internal transcribed spacer 2, and large subunit ribosomal RNA
Rfam family: 5.8S ribosomal RNA (bases 1-120)
Source: RNAcentral
GAUGAAGAACGUAGCAAAAUGCGAUAAGUAAUGUGAAUUGCAGAAUUCAGUGAAUCAUCGAAUCUUUGAACGCACAUUGCGCCCGCUGGUAUUCCGGCGGGCAUGCCUGUUCGAGCGCCAUUUCAACCCUCAAGCCCCCGGGUUUGGUGUUGGGGAUCGGCUCUGCCCUUCUGGGCGGUGCCGCCCCCGAAAUACAUUGGCGGUCUCGCUGCAGCCUCCAUUGCGUAGUAGCUAACACCUCGCAACUGGAACGCGGCGCGGCCAUGCCGUAAAACCCCAACUUCUGAAUGUUGACCUCGGAUCAGGUAGGAAUACCCGCUGAACUUAAGCAUAUCAAUAAGCGGAGGA